Rhinichthys klamathensis goyatoka is the source of this 619-nucleotide long non-coding RNA. RefSeq lists it as uncharacterized. The record is from RefSeq and is a predicted model, not a curated record. Lineage: Eukaryota; Metazoa; Chordata; Actinopteri; Cypriniformes; Leuciscidae. The transcript has 2 exons.
ACACUUUAUUUGAAGGGGUGUGCAUAAGACUGACAUGACACUGUCAUAAGCAUGACAUAACACCUGUCAUGAACAUGAAGGAGUCUUUAUGAAUGUUUAUGACUGUUGUCAUUAAGUGUCAUUCGGUAAAUUAUGACACUUUUAAUGCAAAGUUGACAUUGUUUAAAAUGUCUUUGUUAUGACAACUUGACAUUAACCAAUAAAUCAUAACCUGUCAACCUGUCACAAAUAUGUCAUAACAGGUCUAAUUAUCAAACUUAAAGAAGUUAUUUAGCUUUGCGUUGACAUUACAUUACCCUGUCAUAUGUGGUUGGUUUUGACUUUGGCCGUCAUGACACCAUUAUAACUGUCAUGAAUAUUUUACUUGUCCUCAAGUAAAGUGGAACACAUUGUACUAGUUAUGAUUUCUUGGUUAAUGUCAAGUUGUCAUAACAAAGACAUUUCUGUCUUUGUUAAUGUCAAGUUGUCAUAAUCAAGACAUUUUUGUCUUGGUUAAUGUCAAGUUGUUAUAACAAAGACAUUUUAAACAAUGUCAACUUUGCAUUAAAAGUGUCAUAAUUUACCGAAUGACACUUAAUGACAACAGUCAUAAACAUUCAUAAAGACUCCUUCAUGUUCA